This 1110-nucleotide long non-coding RNA is filed under the name Equus caballus (horse). RNAcentral describes it as "lncRNA (ENSECAG00000052477.1)". The record is from RNAcentral. Lineage: Eukaryota; Metazoa; Chordata; Mammalia; Perissodactyla; Equidae.
GGAAAUUGAAAGGGAGCUAAAAGGGCAGCUCAUGGAGAAGAAAACAGGUUGUUCUUCACUGGGCUCCCAACGGUUUUGGAAACAUCAGCAGCAGGUUUCGUUUAGGAAUUUUCUGAGAGUGAUUCUAGAGCAACAGGAUCCGAAGGAAACUUCUGACAGCUUUGGGGACAACAAGAAACACAGAUGUGCUACCUGCAAACCCUUGAGUUCUCCAUCUUGCUCGCUGUCUCUGAGGGCUGUGGGAAUCCAGGGGCUUAUCCAGUCCGAAGGGAAGUCCGCUGUCUUCUGACAUCAAGAGGAGAAGGAUCUGGAGACUGAUGAAUGUACUCUUGCUGUUAUUGUUGGAGCAGAAUCCUAUACAGUUCUUUGGAAAUUUGUCUGCAGGAUAAUACCAGUCCCAUAUGCAUAUACACCUCCUAAACUGCUGCCACUUGUGGGCUCCAAAUUAAAGCUGCUUUAGUUCACACUCACGUUUAUAGCUAGCAUUCCCCAAAGCAAAUUUAUUGCCAAGUAUUUGGAUUUAGAGCAACUACCAGAAUUAGUCACAGUGAAACCUACACUCACUCUUGGUAACUCAGGUUACUCAAGCUUAGAUUUUCUGCCUCCCUAAAGUGAUGCUAUUCCAGGAACCUUGUUAAACAUGCCUCUAUCAAUCUUGGUUGGAGCUCUGUAGUUCACUAAAGUAAAUCUCCCUAACACUGAAAGGAAAAACUUACUCUUGAUAGCUCUCAAGUUCUUGGAUUAUAUAUUUCUAGAGAGUAGAGACUAGCACUUGGACCAAUACCACGCCUUUUAAUAAAAGAUCUGAUGAUUAAAGUAUUUUUUACACAGAGCCUGCCAAGGCAAGCUUUUAAAUGAGGGGAUUCGUAUAUAGUAAAUGAAAGAAAGAGAAAGAAUUGUUCAUUUGCUUCCAAGUAGAACCUAGGAUUCUUGGGCAAAGUCCUCCUUCUCCUCCUUCCUUAGCAAUUUUACAUACCAGGGACCACAGGAGUCAUGGCCUUGUUCAUGCCACAAAAGGGUUCAUCAAGAGCUCAUCACACGUGAGUCUAUUUAAAAGGCUCCUAAACACGAAGCUCUGUUCAAGAUAAACUGAAAUCUUAAUCAACAGGC